CUGUAAAAAAUUUCCGGGAUUUCACAAGAUGUAACUGUGAUAUUUCACAGUUAAUUACAUUAUUAGCAUGUCACAGGCUUUAGCUGUGACAUUUCACAAUAUAGUACAGUAUUCAGACUUUUAUUGUGAAAAUAAUGCCAUCGGCGAAAUCACAGGGAACGGCUGUAAGUUCCGACGCGCGCUAUCUGUUUGGGUUCUCUCAUCUCUGCGGUCUCAUCCAACGGAUUCAGUGCAUCUUUCUGCGGUAUCCACCGGGGAGUAAAGUUAUGAGGUAUUUUUUCCACACUUCACAAGGAUGGGGACAUCACUCAGAAGAGUAAAGUUUCGAGAAGCCCUGGAUAACAACUACAAUAACAUUCUGAAGUUCGUCCAAGGAGUCAACUAUCAUCAACGGGGUGCUUCUUGGGCAUUAAUUCGGAGACAGACAGGCAGAAAGGACAGAAACAACAAGCUGCAAGUCUGUACACUGAUUAGAAAACUUAUGACUUGAAUGGAUGUCAGUCUAGUGUGUCACAAAUACUAGUUCUUUGUUUAGCUAGAGGCGAUUGUACACUUUGUACUCUUACAAUGUUCUAUAUCAGGAGUCUC
Non-coding RNA from Misgurnus anguillicaudatus (oriental weatherfish), 588 nucleotides. Lineage: Eukaryota; Metazoa; Chordata; Actinopteri; Cypriniformes; Cobitidae. The record is from RefSeq and is a predicted model, not a curated record.